CAGAAGGUAGUUUAUAUAAAAUAUUAACAUUGGAAGUUAAAGAUCAAGUGGCAUACUUGUCUUCUGA
RNAcentral lists this transfer RNA (67 nucleotides) under Watasenia scintillans (sparkling enope). RNAcentral's name for it is "tRNA-Pro". The record is from RNAcentral. Lineage: Eukaryota; Metazoa; Mollusca; Cephalopoda; Oegopsida; Enoploteuthidae.